UGCUUCUUGGUGGCUCUAUCUUGAGAAUUCUUAAUUCUAUACCAAGCAUCUUUCAAACUUUAUCCAACCCUUUGUUUGAAGGUGAGAAUCUCUCCUUCGGGUGCAACACUAGAGGCAAAGGAUUUAGGCAUACUAACAAAGCAAAGUAACUAAUUUUUCUGUGGUUUUUGGGUAUAGGACCGUAAAGAAAAAACUAGAAAGCAAACUAACAAGACUAAAAAGCAAAGGUAAAAUAUAGUGUGCAACUCCCCUAUCUUGAAGAGUGGAGUCCCUAGCAAUGGCGCCAGAAAUUCGCUUGAUGACGAGGUGUUGUAUAUGCUUCUCGCCCCUCGUUGGACCCCAAGUGGAAGGUGGAGAUGUAGUCAACAACAAAUUUCCCUUACACGGAGACUGUAAGGUUUAUCGAACCAGGAGGACUCCUAGGCUCAACAAGUAGGUGUCUUCCACCCUGGCGCUAGCAAAAGACGUGGACCUGCACACACAACAAAUAACUUUGAUCCCAACGAGUACAGAGAGGUUGUCAAUCUCUCCGACCUUGUAGUUUGCAAAGGAUCAAAACACAAGCGAGAAGGUAAUAGUGAUUACAACGGAAAAGUAAAUAAAGUGGUAAAUAGUGGAGGUGUAAGCAAUGAUGGUGAUCUGGACCGGAGUCACAUGACGUUCACUAGUGAUGUCUCUCUCCCAAAAGACGAUAAACAACUAUGCUAGGGUGAACAAAUAACAGUUGGGCAAUUGACUGAAUUAUGAUCGCAUCGCAAUGCUAAUUAUGCUCCUUGAUAGUUAGAGGUUCAAUAGUAAUGGGCAAUACGCCGAGACAAGUAGACCGUUUAUUCAUCAGCAUCUACUUAGUAAUCAUCCACCUUGAGAUAUAUAUCGAGAACAUCUCUCUGGUAUUAAGUUGCGAGCCCCACCCAAAGUGUAAACUCAAAGCAACGGACAACUGCAUUAAUGAACUAUGCAUAAGGUAAACAAUCCUUGCAACCUUGGUCACAAGCACCGUUGUUUUCUCCCUGGUGGCAACAAGCACAUCCCCCUACUCUCAUGUUUCGGUCAGUCAAGCUAGACAUUGAGGGGCCCGAACCCACAAUCAUGCAUAAUGCUCCCGCUUGGAGUUACGAUCUACUACUUGGCCAAAGCAAUAAAAAGCAACGGAGAACAUUCAAGAAUCACUAAGGAACAUAAUAUAAAAGGAUAAUCAAAUAUAUAACUCAUAAAAAUCUGAACAUAAUCUCAUAAUCCAUCGGAUCCCAACAAACAGAGCAUAGCAAUAGCAAGAGAAUUACAUAGAGGCCUUGAUCAUGUAGGGCAGCUCACAAGGACUAACCAUUGAAGCACAAGAUUGGAGAGAAUACAUCACAUAGCUACUGGCCAUGGACCCAUGGUCCAAGGGAAACUACUCACGGCAGAUCCGGGAGGCGUCCAUGGUGGUGGAGAAGCUCCCGGAGGUCAAUCCUCCCUCCGGCAGGGUGCCGGGAACAGGUCUCCUGACGCUCCCGAUCUCGAAAGCGCUGCGGCACCGGAACGAUGGAGAAAUUUGCGAUUCCAGAUAGUCUGCGAGGGUUUCCUCAUAGAACACUAAAUAUAGGCCAAAGAAGGGCACCGGAGGAGGUGGGGCCCACCCAGGCGACCUCCUGGCGUGGCCUGGGGCCUGGCCGCACCAGCAGGCCGCCUGGUAGGCCCGUGGCCCCCCUAUGGACCUCCCUCAGUGACCCCGAAUCUUCUGCUUCGCUGAUUUUUUAUAUGUUUUUCUGGAUUUUUUUUGGGCUUCGGAAAAUCGGGUAAAAGCCCUUGCAAAAAAGACAUUAGCAGACAGAAACUGGCACUGGGUGCACUCAGUUAGUAGGUUAGUCCAAAUAUGUGUAAAAUGAUAUAAAAGUNUACUCCACAAUGCCCUUGUCUAUGUGUGAAUUUGGCAUAUCUGUUCUACUUUGUGUCAUUAUGUCAACACAAUAUAAUCUCUUAUAUUGUGUGUCCUGUUAUGGUCAAUUGCGUGAACUGAUGACAUGGCCAUUUGUUCAUCUAGUUAUCCCUUUAUUUAUAACUUACUCUAUUUUUUAAAGCAUAUUAUGCGUUCAGAUAUGAAGUCCGCCUCUCGUGUUUUGGUCACACUCCGCCACUGGUCAAGAUUGUUAUGAUAAUCAUGUGGUCUAUAAUAUUCUUCAUGCGCCAUCGCGUCCUGUGGCCGCAACACUCCUCUAAAGAUAAAGGCCUUCGAUAAGGCCAGACAAUAUAUUUUUUGGAUCUGCUAAGUUAGAAUGAACGAUUAUGAUAUUUUCAUGUUAAAUAUGUUUACUUCGUGAUGUAUGUUUUGUCACUUGUCACUAUAUACAUUGUUUUCCAUUCCUUAAUUGUUAUGCAAUAUUAAAUACUAUACUUUAAAAAUAAUUAGCAUAGUUAAGAAUGUCAUAACCCGUCUUGUAAUACAUAACUUUUGAUGGAUUGUCAUAUUUAUCAUUGCCAUAUUCUUUUCAUGUUGAAAAUAUAACUCUAUUUUGUCCCAAAUGUGUUUCACUUUUAGCUUUGGUUUGGGACAUUCAAUAAAAUGUCUUGUUCAAGAUGGAUUUCACCCCAAAAAUUUGAUUUAUGUUUUUAAUCCAAUCAAAGAGAAAGUAUUGUCCUUUUCUAUGUUGUGCAUGUUUAAAACAUAGAAGUUUGUGUAAUUUGAUAAUUCAUACAAGGAGCUGAAAUAUUUGCAGAAACUAUGGAUCAAAGAGACUUGGAAAAAGAAUAGUUGUUGGGUGAGAUAAUCUUCACCGGAGGUGAUGUCUUGUCGUAUCUCAACGACACCGAUGGUCUGGAAGGAGAGGAUGACGGCUCGGGUGAACGAACAAUGAAGGAGGAAGGACAUGAUCAUGAUGGCUCCGGUGACCGAAUGUCGGCGGAAGAAGAUGACCAUAAUGACGCCUCCGGUGACCGAACGGAGGAGGAUGCUGUUGCAAAGUCCGGUGAGGUAUAUAUAUUACAUAAGCCUGUGCUGACUAGCUAAUUGACGCAUUAAUUAUUUUGGUAUGUACAUAUAUUAACUCUUCUUUCUUUCUUUAUAGGCCUCCGGAUUGAGCGAACCUUCGGUAACGAGACGAGGCUCGAAGAGAAGGUUGCGCAAGGAUGAAAGGCUCACAAUCACAUCACUCGCAAACGAUGGCCUACCGAUUCUACCCAAACGGACCAAGGACGCAUUUUCUGCUCAGUGCGGAGCUAUUGUUAGGGACAACAUCCCGAUCAGCAUCAAGUAAUAGAAUAAGCCUAAGGGCGACGACGUCCCUGAAGGUGAUUAUGUCACCGAUAGACAGAAAGAUGAUCUUUGGACCGCGCUGAAGGCAAAUUUCACCCUACCACCCGAGGAGGAUCCGAAUAAGCCAGUUAUAAAGCCACUCGUCAAGGCAUGUGGUCUUAAGAAGAUGGCAGAUCUAUUCAAGAGGUGAAAAAUUCAUAUGCAGCAGCGCGGCUGUCGGGAAGUACUUCCACUCAUGCAAGGUUAGCAGAACGAAGAAGUGGAAAACAAUUCCCCAGCUCGGCGAACAGGAGAAGCAAUCGUGCCCCCUGCUCAAGGUGUCUAGCGAAUCGUCGCUAAUCCUCCGGGGAUGGUGCCGGGUACCAAUCCUAGUGAUUACUUGGGGGAUGAUGUAAUUUUUCAAAAGGUUGAGGUAACAAAAUAACAACACAAAUACGUGCACGGGAAGCCUCUCAUCAAACCUGAUCAUCCUCCUCUAAUAACGAUGAUGCACAAAUUGCAUGAGUGGUACAUGAAAACCUGCAGCGAGUCUGGGAGAGACACUAUGUAUGUGGCAGUGAAACUAGAGCACGAAUUCAUUGGAUCUCUCGUGAUGCCUAUUGAAUUUGUGGAGUUAUUUCAGUUAUACAAUCAAAUGGGCCUCGACAAAUGACUCAUGACUUCCUACUGUUUGUAAGUAUUACUUCUAUAGUUAAUUCUCUAGCUCAGCUCGUUCAUUGCAUGUAUAUAUAAUUAUCCUUACUAUAUUAUGCAGAUUAAAGAUCGUUGAAUUCAAAAAAGUAGGAAUCUUCGACGUUGGGUUCAUUAGCCCAGAUGUCGUAAAUGAAUGGAUGGUACGACACUCAACCAAAGAGACCGAGGAGAACUUCCUAAAGUCGUUACUUGUACAUCAAAACAAAAAGGAAAUACUCCUUCCUUACAACUUCAAGUGAGUGUUGAUGUGUUCUCUGUAUACUCGGUUUCGCUUACUCGAGGUUAAUUAAUGUAAUUGAUGAGUUAUAUAUGCGUGCGCAGUUACCACUUUAUUCUGCUGUCCAUUAAGCUUGACGCGGCAUUACUAACUGUCUUAGACUCGAGACGUAAAAAUCCUAAGAUGUAUGCGGACAUGACUGCAAUGCUCAAGAAGUAAGUUUAGUCAAUACUGGGACCAUAUCGGCAUGCAAAUUUCGUUAAUUUCCUGAUAUCAAGUAAUAAUAUUUUUUUUGCCUGGCAAGGUUUGUAAGAAGUUUACCAAAAAGGCUCCUGGUCUAAACAAAGAGUUGUGAGUUACGCAUCCCAACGUAAGUAGUACUCCCUCCGUCCUAAAAUAAGUGUCUUAAGCUUAGUACAAAUUUAUACUAGAGCUAGUAUAAAGUUAAGACGGUUAUUUUGGGACAGAGGGAGUACUAGCUAGUUCCGCGCAUCUCUAAUUGAUUCAAAUUUUCAUCAAUAUAUCAUUACCAUGCUUGCUUAUCAAUUUUAUUGAAUUCUAUUCUCGUAAAGUGCAUGUAGCAAAAAGAAGGGACUGUUUUAUGUGCAUACUACGUAUGCGAGUUCAUUCGCCUCUCGAUCUGUGAGCGGGGCUUCUCCGAGAAACAAUUUAAAUUAUGUAAAUAAUAUUCACAAUUUUAUUUUAUAUAUUAGCAUAAAUUGUGUUGUUUUAUUCAUAUAUAUGCAUGUAUUAACCCCCUUCUUUAAAUUAGAUCUGACAGAUGUGGGAUGAACUCCUAUCACAUGAUCGCAUACGACCAAUUCAAGAGGAAUUGGCGAGAUUCUUUCUUGACCACGUCAUACCUAAAGACGGAGAAUACCAUGCGAAUUUGUGAUUGGAUCUUAGGUAGAUGAUGUUAGGGAUUGUAAAAGAUGUUAUAUUGUAUAUAUGUAGUAGCGUCGGAUAGAUAUACGAAAACUUGUUGUUCGACCAAACACGGAGAAAGAUGUCACUUCUCUCUAUAUGUAUAGUAGCUAGCGUCGACCAAGCAUGGAGAAAGAGAGGACACUUCUCUCUAUUAGCUAGCUAACACAAUACGAAACCCCUAAAUUAACCCUCCAACCCCACCCCCCCCCCAACCUCCCUUAAAAAAAACUCACCUCCUGCCAGAUGCUGACGCGUGGAUGCCUUUUGGUCCCGGUUGAUGUUAUCAACCGGGACUACAGGCCCUCCUGCCAGGGCUCCCCGCAGAGGCCACAUGAAGGCACAUCUGUCCCGGUUGGUAAGUGAACCGGGACUAAAGGUUUUGGGCUUUAGUCCCGACCCUUUAGUCCCGGUUCCAGAACCGGUGCUAAUGGGCCUCUGAAACCAGAAUAAAUGGGCAAAGUGUAAAUAAGAUGGGAAACUUGUAAGACAAGAUUGAACAAGCACUAGCUUGCUGUCAUAUCCCAAAAAUCUCCCUCUUCACGCAACAACUAUUUUGAGGAUUUUACCAACCACAGGCUGCAUGUCCUCUUUUCUAAGCUUGGAAUGAUGAAGAUGGAAGCCCAAAUAUUUAAUAGAAAAAUAAUCUUUUUUUCUAGAAUAUGCACGAAUAUGCAUAUCAUAUAUCUAUAGAAGAAAGGUGAAGAACAUCUCCAUCAGUUAUUUACAUCACAUCGUGAUACACCUCACGAAAACACAAACAACUCCACUUUAUCCUAACAUAGUCUACUCCUCCCCAAUGCUCCACCGUAUUAGACCUGCAAACACAUAAUCAACAUUUUCUUUAAUGAGCACGGCCAACGACCACGUUCUACCUCAGUCAAUUAGUCCCCGGAACGCCAAUUUUCGCUGGUUGGGCCCAUUUUUAAGUCUGACGAUCCCAUGACGAACCCAGCAAACUGGGGGCGCUUUGGGUCUCCGGCAGAAGAAAAAACGACGCGUGGGUUGUCCCUAUCAGGCGCAAAAGCCGUUUUCCUCCUUCAGAUCCCGGCGCCGUUCACCUCCCUACCGCCGCUACAAAGGCCAUCUCCCUUGCGACCAAGGGUGGGUUUGCCCCGGAUUCGCUCUAGCCCACAAGUUUGUUUGACCACUCCAAAAGUUAAGCACCCGAAAUAUGUGCUAGUUCGCUCAUGUAUCCCAGAAUUUUUUUGGCACCAACAUGGUUAUUCUCUACUUAAUACUUGACUGAAAUGACCCUUAACCAAAGCAACUAUGUUGUUAUAUGAAACGGAAACACAACUAGAAGAUGAUGAUCAACGAUGAUAGUAAUAUUCUAGCCACAGAUCAGCGAGAGAUACCAUCCUUCAUGAUUUUUUUAACAGGCAUUCGGCAAAUCGACAUAACAACACCCAACAAUACUCUUCAAAUUGAUACAAAAGCUGAAAAUUUCACGGUACCUAAUGUUACUCAAAACAUAAUUAAUGGUUUCAGCCUGUCUUGUAGAUUGUGGAGCUGUGCAUGCAAAUUUGGACGGUAGUGAUCCUCGAGGAUUUUAUGCACGGGGACUGAAGUGGAGUUGUUCGAUACGAUGAGUUUCAUAGUCAACGCGUGUAGAUACUCAGCUGUUUCAAGUUCAGCUGACAUAGUUAUUUCUUAUUUCCUGGACAGAUUUUCUGAUCAUGUGUAUGUCCAGGUCGCUGCGGCCAUGUCCAUGCUAUUUAUCUUCCAUUAUAUAUUUUUUACUAACUGACUGAGUGUUAUUUGAAUGGAAGAGAGCAUACCAUUGAAAAAUGCAGUUUUCAUUUUCUUGUACAGUGGUACUUAUAUUCAGUGGCGGAGCUAGCUAAUUGCCAAAGCCUGGGCACGCUGUAAACAAAGAUUUUUUCAUAUAUAUAUAUCAAACAUCACUAGUAUCAUAUAUUUGAAUAAACAGUAUGCGCAAUAUACGCACUAAUGUUUCAUAGAUGACAGAAGUAAAUAAAAACAAGACAUACAAUAGNNAAUAACUCGCUAAGCACUAGACACACAAUCUAACCUUUGUCUUGACGAUAAUAGUCCAAUCUUCAAUGUUCAUCGUUGUGCACACAAGAGAACCUACAAGAUACACCACAUUACCAAAUUAUAUAUUUUUCACUGAGAUUAAAUACAUUAGAUCUGCUCAACUCUGAAGUUUUAACAAACAUAACUGCAUAAUUAGAGCCGACACAAUCAAUGUUUAAAUGCACAAUUUCUUGAUAAAAUAGAGAGAUUAAUUCACCUAAUUGCCGCUUGCCGCUAGCCCUACUUGUUGGUGGUAGACUGCUAUUAGAUGCCACUUCACCAUGGCCUUGCACAGGUUGAGUGUUCGCUGGCGCUUCUCGUGCGGCCUUGCGAUCUUUCUGCCGACCUGUCCGAUGAUAAUCCGGCAGUUUGCCUCGCCGGCUCGCCGGCUAGGAGUAGCAGCGGCGCAGCAGUUCCUAGGUCACGGACUCACAGCGUCACGUCCAGGACUUCGUCUCGCCUAGGUACGCACACGAACAGGAAGCUGAUGGAUUCAGAUACUUCUAAUUCUCUCACAAUCUAACUAGGCCUUAGUGGCCCACGUAAUUCACGUACUCCCCAAGAGACAAGAGUAUAGCCCAAACUGCAUAAAAACGACAAGACAGGCCCAGUUCAAACACUGCACGUAUUCUCUAUUGUAUACCAGCAUUUUUAAGCUAUUUUUAUGUAUAUGAUGCCUAGAAAUGGUAGCUAUAGUUCAGGAAUUUGCCGCCGUCGAGCCCGGGCACGUGCCCAGGGUGCCCGGACGGUAAAUCCGCCCCUGCUUAUAUUAAUAUGAGCAACAUGUUCGUCUAAUUGCUUUAAAAUCUAUGCUAUUAAUUAAUUAGUGGAUAACUUUGUCCACAUACUUCUCUUGCCCUUAGAGCAACUCUAGCGCACCCCCAACAGGCUCCCAGGGCGUGUUUUUUAGUGCCGGCCAUGAAAAAAAUGCUAAGUUGCUUCGCAGAACAUCGAUUUUAGCUGGUUGAGCCCAUUUUUAGGUCUGACGAUCCCAGGACGAACCCAUCGCACUCGGGCGCUUUGGGUCCCCGACGGAAGGAAAAACGACGUGUGGGCUGUCCCUGUCAGGCGGAAAAGCCGUUUUCCUCCUCCAAAUCCCGACGCCUUUCGCCGCCGUGGCGAUCCCGGUGCCUUUCGCCACCGUGCCGAUCCCAGCGCCGUCCACCUCCCUACCGCCGCUAGAAAGGCCAUCUCCCUGGCGACGAAGGGUGGGUUCGCCGUGGCUUCGCUCCCUGCUUCUUGGUGAUUUUUUUUCCGGCGCUCCGGCCAUGCACGCGGCUGCGCGUCUGCCACGCCCGCUAGGUGUUCGGCGAUUUGCCUCGGCGAUGGACUCCGACGACGUGGAGGCAUUCGCAACGCUAAUGGAAGAGGAAGCCGAUGCCGACACCCAGGAUGAAGAGCACCUCAUGGUCCUCGCCGCUCUGGUGAGCCUGUUCGCGAGCAAUGCAAACCCGAGGCGAGGUGGCUCGGCGUCGGGUCGGCUGAAGGCAAAGCAGGGGCAUCGACUCGAAGGCUAUUGCUUGCUCUACACCGACUACUUCGCCGACGCUCCUCUGCACGGUGACAAACUCUUUCGGCGCCGUUAUCUUAUGAGCCGGAAGCUCUUCCUUAGGGAGUUCGAAAACUACUUCAAGUGCAAAAAGGAUUACACCGGCACACUUGGAUUCACCUCACUCCAGAACUGCACGACAACUACGAGGAUGCUUGCAUACGGAGCUCCCGGUGAUAUUCUGGAAGACUAUGGACGCAUGGCCGAGUCCACCACCGUUGAAUCUUUGUACAAAUUCUACAUGGCAGUUGUGGCAGUAUUUGGACUUCAAUACUUGCGAUCACCCAAUGUUGAAGACACUCCUCGGAUCCUAGCACCGAAUUCAGCAAGAGGAAUUCCUGAGAUGCUUGAAACUAUCGACUGCAUGCAUUGAAAAUGGAAAAAAUAUGCAUUUACUUGGCAGGGGGUGUACAAAGGCGUCAAAGAAGGUUGUAGUGUGGUACUUGAGGUAGUGGCCACACAUAACCUCUGGACUUGGCACUCCUUCUUUGGUAUACCAGGAACUCACAAUGACAUCAACAGACUGCAAUGCUCGAAUGCCUUUGCAAAGCUUGUUGAAGGUCAUGCUCCCCCGAUUAACUAUGAGGUCAAUGGGCACCACUACAACAAGGGAUGCUGCCUAGCAGAUGGCAUCUAUCCGAGAUGGUCCACAUUUGUGAAGACUAUCUCAAACCCUGCACCAGGAGGCAAGAACUUCUACUUUGCCAAGUGUCAAGAAGCUUGUAGGAAGGAUGUCGAGCGAGCAUUUGGUGUGCUCCAAUCUCGUUUUUCUAUUGUUCGAUACUCCGCUCAGACGUGGUCGAAAGAUCAAAUGUGAGAAGACAUGACUUGGUGUGUCAUCUUGCACAACAUGAACAUUGAGAGCGAGCGGGAAGAGCCCGUCUUUGACAUUGAACCAUAUUACAGGCAGGGUCCCCUUGCCCAAGUUGAUCACCAGCUACCGGCAACUUCGAGUGCCUUCAUCAACAUGUGUCAGGAGAUUCGAGACCCACAGGUGCAUCAACAACUAUAAACCGAUUUGGUGGAGUACCUAUGGAGGCUUAAGGGCAACGCCUAGCUCGAUGUGUGAUGAAUUAUGAGUUUUUAUUUGUUGAACUAUUUUGAUUUGUUAAACUAUUUUUGAUUUGUAUUGAUUUCUGUGAUGAACUAUGUGAUAGAAAAAUAAAUGAUUUGUUUAAUUUGUGUUAAAGCAUGCUGAAUAUGGAUCAAAAUUGGUCUCAUUUUGCGUCGAAAGUGAACCAAUUUGCGCUGAAAGUGGGCCAAUUAGCACCGAAAAUGUGCAGAAAUCAGCGGGUGGGGGCGACCUUGGGGGACGGCUGGGAACCCGAGCCUCCCACGUCGAUUUUUCCGCCGACGCGCCUCCAGGAGGCGCUAUUUUACGCCCCGGAAGAUCGAACGGCUGGAGAUGCUCUUAGGGAACCACAUCAUGAUGCAGCUGCUUAUUAAGGAUGUAGUUCUCCACAGCAAUCAUUUGAAACAACUGCUCCUUUCUGUUUGUCUUUCUAAGCUUAAAUGACGUUUAGUUUUGGGGAUCUAAUUUGGACGUUGGAACAUCAGGGCUAAAAUUACACGCUGUAUGUAUCGCAUGAUCGCAAUUGACUCUCAGUUUCCAUGCGUUUGUGCAAUAAUAAUUAAUAAGCUGAAGCUCAAAUUAAUACUUUCUUGUUCUGUUUGCAACAAAGCAGAAGGAGUCUCCACUGAAGGAAUGAAUACUGAGAGUGACAAAUGAUAAGUAGGUGUAUUGGUCUUUGCCAAAUGGGUAUACUCAAUAUAUUUAGAGAUAUAUUAACAAAACAUGCCCAGCAAUCGCUUGGAUGCGAUGCGGACUUAGGUAGGUAAAACAUCAGAUAUUAAAAGUGGCAUGCUUAAAAGGUGUAAAGGCAGCUGCCGUCGUCGCUCCUUGCCGUUGGGUCGUAGUUCUUGGCAUUUUGGUCGGUGCAACCUUCCGGCACGGGCAAAGUACCUUGCUGUGCUCCUUUACCUGCAAUUUAAUUGUUUUGGACGACGUGAUGAGAAGAUGAGCUUGAUAUGCCGGCGGAAGAGCAGGUAAGAAAAACAGGCCUCCACUCCCUUUUUUUUUCCGAAGUAAGAAAGUGAGAAAGAAGUAUGCAUGUAAAGUAGUUGCUGAAAGUAUAAGAAGAUUGUGCGUAGUUCACCUCCUCCUAUGCAGCAAGAGAUGGUGGGUGUGUAUGGAGAAUUUUCUAACCGUAGAAGGAACCAGUCUUCAUCGCAUCCUGGUUAGCAUCACCCAGAGCUGCCUGGCUCAUGUAGGUGUCAGCAAGCUGCACACGCUUGACAUUGUCCUGCUCCUGGACGAGCAUGUGCCCGUACUCUAGCAGCUUCUCGACUGUCAUCUUUGGCUGCUCGAAGGUCACGGGCCCGUCCCGCGAGUUCACCAGCCUCUUGCCAAUGUUCUCGAUUCCGGUAGAGCCGACCCACUUGCGCACCUCAUCGUCGUACACCCGAGCACGCAGAGCACCGAAAAAGUCUGUAUCGGAUCGAUGCAUGAUACUUUGUUAAUUACUGAUAUACAACUUGUCUGCCCUGAUGAAUAUAUAUAUAUAUAUUUGGAAACAAGAGAAAUAUACCAAUGGAUUGUCCUGGGAAGGUGUCGACGAUCUUGACGACAGACUCGUCACUGACAUUGUCGGUCUGGAAGAUACCCUUGCAGACACCGAUACGGUCGUCACGGGUGGGAGCCCAGUAGAACUUCUCCAUACGACCAUCACGGAUCAGAGGAGCGUAGAGCGUCGAGAAAUCGUUACCGGUGACGACGAUGGGCACACGGGGGUUCUCCUCCUUGUUGUACAUGCCAGGGAGCUGCACGUUGGUGGGGGCAUCGGCGAUGUUCAUCAGGGUGGCGUUCACCAUCUGGUUGUUGACGGUGUACUGCGUGGUUCCGCCCAUCCUACCCGCACCAGCGUCAAGAUCGUUGAUGAAGAGGCAGCACAUCUUACCCUUCUUGAUCAUGUCUGCAGCCUCACGGUACCGCUGCCUGAUGAGCUUGGCUGGCUCUCCAGCGUUCCCACUCUCCAGCUCUCCGGCACUCAUCAUGAUGGGGCUGUGGCAAAAAGCACAGGUCAUUAUCUAUUAUUACUAUUAUCUUAUACUCCCUCUGUUCUUAAAUAUAAGUCUUUUAAGCGAUUUCAUCAAGAAACUACAUACAAAACAAAAAGAAUGAAUCUACACUCUAAAGUAUGUCUAUAUACAUCCGUAUGUAGUCCUUUAGUGAAAUCUCUAAAAUGACUUAUAUUAUGGAACGGAGGGAGUAGUAUUUCUUUAGGGAGGAAGUAGAUGAAUGUAAAUUCUUACUUGAUGCCCAUCUUGGCGAACACAAGCUCACACUGGAAUGAUUUUCCUUGACCCUUGCCUCCCCAGAUACCCAAGAUGAGUGGGAUCUGAAUUUCGAUUCAAGGUCAGUUUCAGAAUCAGAAUGAUUCAUUUUAUUGCUGCUUCUGCUAAUAAUCAAUUAAAUUAAAUAACGAUGUCUGCAUGCAUCGAUUAAUUCAACCUCCUUUUUUCAAAAAAAGAAAAGAANNNNNNNNNNNNNNNNNNNNNNNNNNNNNNNNNNNNNNNNNNNNNNNNNNNNNNNNNNNNNNNNNNNNNNNNNNNNNNNNNNNNNNNNNNNNNNNNNNNNNNNNNNNNNNNNNNNNNNNNNNNNNNNNNNNNNNNNNNNNNNNNNNNNNNNNNNNNNNNNNNNNNNNNNNNNNNNNNNNNNNNNNNNNNNNNNNNNNNNNNNNNNNNNNNNNNNNNNNNNNNNNNNNNNNNNNNNNNNNNNNNNNNNNNNNNNNNNNNNNNNNNNNNNNNNNNNNNNNNNNNNNNNNNNNNNNNNNNNNNNNNNNNNNNNNNNNNNNNNNNNNNNNNNNNNNNNNNNNNNNNNNAGGUACCUUGAUGUUGGGCAGGGUCAUGAAGUUUUUGGAGAGAUGGACAACAAGCUUGUCCAUGAAAGCAGGAGCGAUGUAGAAGCCUCCCAUGGUGUUGUCGAAGUCGUACUUCCGCAGGCCCUGGCUGACGUACUCGUAGGAGCUGAGGACGGCCUCGUGGGUGCCGUCGCCCGUGGGCGCCUGGAAGAGCGAGUCCACGAUGCCCUUCCCUCUGGUGAUGUCCUGCUGGUCGUCGGAGAUAUCGUACGCAAGACCCUUCCACUUGUCGGUGUUCCUCUUCUCGUCGAUGUUCUCCGCUGCCAUGACUGUGAACCUGUUGGCCUUGGAGCUCUUGCCAUGGUAGUUCACGGCCGAGGUCACCUGCUUCUUGAGCUUCUUCCCGAGGAAGUUGGUCGGCGUAGAAGCCUGUAUACAUUACAUUACAUUACAUAUACACACAUGAGAUGCCGCUGAAGACACUGAUAGGAUAUCAUCACUAAGCAAGAGAUGCAAUCAAUCAAUCGAUCGAUCAGUGUGUGGUACGCACCGGAGCCCCGACGGUGGAGGAGAAGGCAGCAGCCAUCUCUGUGCUGCUUGGUCGACCUUGCUAGCAACGGUGGAUGCGCGCGGCUGUGCUGGUGAUCAGUGAUGAAUGACUGCUGCUGCUCAAAGUAUAGAGGCCGAGCUAUGUGACGCCUUAAAUACACGUGGAUUGGCAUAUUGCUGCUCUGCUGUGGGGAGCUUGGAGGAGGAGGCGGCAUACACACACCCCUGCUUGUGGAUCAGCCUCCCGAUCCCCCAGAGGCCACACGCUGGAGAUUGGGUUCUGAGCGUCUUGGCCGGCCGGUUGGAUGACUUGGACCGUCAAGACCAAACGCUGCAGCUGCAGCUGCAGAUACGUCUGCUGGCCAUCAAUUCCAUGGCCUUCCACGGCCACAGAAUCUAACCAUUCAUGCUCAAAUCAUCUCCCAUUUCUUCCGUGCCUUUCAUUUUUUCCUUUCACUCGGUCGCCCGUAUAUACUAUCUUGUUUAUUAGCCAAGCCAUGUCAUUGCAUAACCACAAAAAAAGGGUCUCUCGUUGCUUGUUGGAUGAGGCACCCAAGAUUGUAUUCUAGUUCCAAGUACCACAAAUUUGUUGCUGCCAUACAUAUACUGGUUUGUUGAUAACCAUCAAGCUAGGGAUGUCAUUUGGCACCACACAAAUCAAGUCCUGGUUGACAUCAAGCACAUGGGUUUGUACUUUUGUCUACUCCAAUAAAUAUUGCCACUUCGGUAAAAAAAAAUGAAGCGUAUUAAGAGAAAAGGUAGCCAUGCAGUUUUGCUUUGAUGAAAAGAUUAUAGAACGUGUCUAAUGUUUUCAUGUAAAUGUAAUUCGUGUUGCCUAGCUCAAGUUCCCUGCUGGUAUUCUCAUUGUUUGGGUCUAGUACAGACCAUUAAUUGAUCAUUACGAUGAAUGCGAGCCGUUUGGCUCGCACAAUCUUUGUCCAAUACACCUUCUAGUGAUGUUGUCCUUGUUAAUCAACUUUGUGGUGCAAAUUGGGGUUUCCGUAAUCCGUCAAAGGGAAAAUAUGUAUGUAUGUGAUGAGUCAUGACCCCCCACAUCCACAGUACUCGUACCUAAUCAACAAGCUUCAGAUGAUUUCCACAUAUGUGCUAAUCUUCCGACAAGUGCUAAUAUCAAGAGAUAUAUAGGUUGUUGGGACUUGGGACCCUAGCUUGCAUCCAUUGGAGAAAUGAUUAAGCGGAAAAUGACGAUUUAAGAACAUAUACAAUUCCUUUCUCUUUCAAGAAGAGACUUACAAUUGGGUUACCUGUGCGGCGAUGAAUCAAAAAGUUUGAGUGGAUUUCGGGUCCAAAAUAGUCCAACAUAUAUAUAGUGCAUGCAUGCAUCUUAAGUAGAGUAGGACCUUCUACUUGCCGUAGAAGGCACCGGUCUUCAUGGCGUCGUCGUUGGCUUGGCCGAGCGCCGCCUCGCUGAGGUACUUGUCGGCGAGCUGCACACGCUUGACGUUCUCCUGCUCCUGGACCAGCAUGUGGCCGUACUCCAUGAGCUUCUCUAUGGUCAUCUUGGGCUGGUCGAACGUGGGCGGCCCCUCCCUGGAGUUGACGAGGCGCUUGGAGAUGUUCUCCACGCCGAUCUCGCCGACCCACUUGCGCACCUCGUCGUCGUACACCCGUGCCCGCAGCGCGCCGAAGAAGUCGAUGGACUGCCCCGGGAAGGUGUCCACCAGCCUCACCACGGCCUCGUCCGGGACGUUGUCGGUGCGGAAGAUGCCCUUGCACACGCCGAUGCGGUCCUCGCGGGUGGGCGCCCAGUAGAACUUCUCCAUGCGCCCGUCACGGAUCAGGGGAGCGUACAGCGUCGAGAAGUCGUUGCCGGUGACGAUGAUGGGCACGCGGGGGUUCUCCUCCUUGUUGUACAUCCCCGGGAGCUGCACGUUGGUGGGCGCGUCCGCGAUGUUCAUCAGGGUGGCGUUCACCAUCUGGUUGUUCACCGUGUACUGCGUCGUCCCGCCCAUCCGGCCCGCGCCGGCGUCCAGGUCGUUGAUGAAGAGGCAGCACAUCUUGCCCUUGUUGAUAAUGUCGGCCGCCUCGCGGUACCUCUGCCGGAUCAGCUUGGCCGGCUCGCCGGCGUUGCCGCUCUCCAGCUCACCGGCGCUCAUCAUGAUGGGGUUGAUGCCCAUCUUGGCGAACACCAGCUCACACUGGAACGACUUGCCCUGUCCCUUGCCUCCCCAGAUACCCAGGAUGAGAGGAACCUUGAUGUUGGGGAGUGUCAUGAAGUUCUUGGCGAGGUGGACGAUGAGCUUGUCCAUGAAUGCCGGCGCGAUGUACAGCCCGUCCAUGGUGUUGUCGAAGUCGUACUUCCGCAGGCCCUGGCUGAUGUACUCGUAGGAGCUUAGGAUGGCCUCGUGGGUGCCGUCGCCCAUGGGGGCCUGGAACAGGGAGUCCACGAUGCCUUUCCCCCGAGUGAUGUCCUGCUGGUC
RNAcentral lists this long non-coding RNA (15505 nucleotides) under Hordeum vulgare. Its description in RNAcentral is "long non-coding RNA (HVUL_LNC009180)". Lineage: Eukaryota; Viridiplantae; Streptophyta; Magnoliopsida; Poales; Poaceae. The record is from RNAcentral.